Long non-coding RNA from Gossypium arboreum, 594 nucleotides. RefSeq lists it as uncharacterized. The record is from RefSeq and is a predicted model, not a curated record. The transcript is spliced from 2 exons. NCBI's taxonomy places the organism in Eukaryota, Viridiplantae, Streptophyta, Magnoliopsida, Malvales, Malvaceae.
GUGGAUAGUCUAUAGAAAGAGAGGGAUUUCUACUUUUCUAAGUUGAGAGACAUUGAGAUUCUCUGCCAGACUCCUAAAAUUGAAGACUCGCCCAUUGUUGCAGCUAUCAAAAGGAUCUUAUAUGCUACAGAUGAAGAUGAUGGGGCAGAGGCCUUGAGUCCAAUUGAAGAAAAAACAAUUUUAGAAACCCAGAACAGGAAAAAACAUCUUGAACAUCGAUGUCGAUGCUGCUGGAAGUACAACUUACUAAAGAACAACUUACUAAGGCAAAGGCUCUCUGAUGCUUCUGAUGUCCACUGCAGUGGGUCACCUCUUUUGAGUUACCGAUCAGAGCAACAACUAAGUAUAAGCCCUUUAAUGAUCUGCUUGACAUUACAGUUUUGUCAAGUUCCCUUGCCAUAUCAAUAUCUCUAGUUGUGUCUAUUGUUUCAAUUGUAAUCCAACCAGUAGCGUUCAGAACAGGGACAUAAUAUAGUCAUCAGUUGCACUUGUUGGCAAUGUGUGUUCAUAUGCGUGAGUCAAAUAUUAUUGACUUUAUCCUUUAUUUUUACAUUUUUUUUUUGUUAAAUUUUAAAUGACAGAGAUGUGGAUGAA